This 465-nucleotide ribosomal RNA is filed under the name uncultured bacterium. RNAcentral's name for it is "partial 16S ribosomal RNA". It matches the Rfam family "Bacterial small subunit ribosomal RNA", at positions 338 to 795 of the family's 1533-position model. The record is from RNAcentral.
CCUACGGGAGGCUGCAGUAGGGAAUCUUCCACAAUGGACGAAAGUCUGAUGGAGCAACGCCGCGUGAGUGAAGAAGGGUUUCGGCUCGUAAAGCACUGUUGGUAGUGAAGAAAGAUAGAGGUAGUAACUGGCCUGUAUUUGACGGUAAUUGCUUAGAAAGUCACGGCUAACUACGUGCCAACAGCCGCGGUAAUACGGAGGUGGCAAGCGUUGUCCGGAUUUAUUGGGCGUAAAGCGAGUGCAGGCGGUUCAAUAAGUCUGAUGUGAAAGCCUUGGGCUCAACCGGAGAAUUGCAUCAGAAACUGUUGAACUUGAGUGCAGAAGAGGAGAGUGGAACUCCAGGUGUAGCGGUGGAAUGCGUAGAUAUAUGGAAGAACACCAGUGGCGAAGGCGGCUCUCUGGUCUGCAACUGACGCUGAGGCUCGAAAGCAUGGGUAGCGAACAGGAUUAGAUACCCCAGUAGUC